Molecule: ribosomal RNA, 276 nt
Filed under: uncultured bacterium
Lineage: Bacteria
Description: partial 16S ribosomal RNA
Rfam family: Bacterial small subunit ribosomal RNA
Source: RNAcentral
ACAAUGCAACGUAUAAAGGGAAGCAAACCCGCGAGGGGGAGCAAAUCUCAAAAAGCGUUGCUCAGUUCGGAUUGCAGGCUGCAACUCGCCUGCAUGAAGCUGGAAUCGCUAGUAAUCGCGGGUCAGCAUACCGCGGUGAAUGUGUUCCUGAGCCUUGUACACACCGCCCGUCAAGCCACGAAAGUCGGGAGGGCCCGAAGUCACUGAGCUAACCGCAAGGGAGCAGGUGCCGAAGUUCAAUUCGACAAUUGGGACUAAGUCGUUACAAGGUAACCG